GAUGAACGCUGGCGGCGUGCCUAAUACAUGCAAGUAGAACGCUGAAGGAAGGAGCUUGCUCUUUCCGGAUGAGUUGCGAACGGGUGAGUAACGCGUGGGUAACCUGCCUGGUAGCGGGGGAUAACUAUUGGAAACGAUAGCUAAUACCGCAUAACAGUAGAUGUUGCAUGAUAUCUACUUAAAAGGUGCAAUUGCACCACUACCAGAUGGACCUGCGUUGUAUUAGCUAGUUGGUGAGGUAACGGCUCACCAAGGCGACGAUACAUAGCCGACCUGAGAGGGUGAUCGGCCACACUGGGACUGAGACACGGCCCAGACUCCUACGGGAGGCAGCAGUAGGGAAUCUUCGGCAAUGGACGGAAGUCUGACCGAGCAACGCCGCGUGAGUGAAGAAGGUUUUCGGAUCGUAAAGCUCUGUUGUAAGAGAAGAACGAGUGUGAGAGUGGAAAGUUCACACUGUGACGGUAUCUUACCAGAAAGGGACGGCUAACUACGUG
This 497-nucleotide ribosomal RNA is filed under the name uncultured bacterium. RNAcentral describes it as "partial 16S ribosomal RNA". It matches the Rfam family "Bacterial small subunit ribosomal RNA", at positions 28 to 507 of the family's 1533-position model. The record is from RNAcentral.